RNAcentral lists this ribosomal RNA (253 nucleotides) under uncultured bacterium. RNAcentral's name for it is "partial 16S ribosomal RNA". It matches the Rfam family "Bacterial small subunit ribosomal RNA", at positions 524 to 776 of the family's 1533-position model. The record is from RNAcentral.
UACGUAGGUGGCAAGCGUUGUCCGGAAUUAUUGGGCGUAAAGCGCGCGCAGGCGGUGCGGUAAGUCUCUGGUGAAAGCGCUCGGCUUAACUGGGCGAGGGCCGGGGAGACUGCCACGCUGGAGGGGAGCAGAGGCGAGUGGAAUUCCGGGUGUAGUGGUGAAAUGCGUAGAGAUCCGGAGGAACACCAGUGGCGAAGGCGGCUCGCUGGGCUCUACCUGACGCUGAGGCGCGAAAGCGUGGGGAGCGAACCGG